RNAcentral lists this ribosomal RNA (1032 nucleotides) under Triticum aestivum (bread wheat). Its description in RNAcentral is "partial small subunit ribosomal RNA". Lineage: Eukaryota; Viridiplantae; Streptophyta; Magnoliopsida; Poales; Poaceae. The record is from RNAcentral.
AUGGAAGCUAUGCCAUGGGGAAUACUGUGGCUCAACUCAAACGAGCUUAGAGGUCCAAUACCACCAUUGCCAGCAGACCUUGAUAUACUGGACAUCUCCAUGAACUCCUUUUCAGGACCACUGCCAUCGAAUUUUGGUUCACGAGAUAUAGAAACAUUGAUUAUGUUCUCCAAUAACAUUACUGGCAGCUUCCCAACAUCUAUGUGUCAAUUGCAGAGUUUGGUCGACUUGGAUUUGUCAAACAAUGCUUUGGAAGGAGAAAUUCCUCAAUGUUUUCAGGCCAAUACAAUGAAGUAUCUAUUAUUAAGUAAUAAUAGUCUAUCCGGAGAAUUCCCAAUGUUUAUUCAAAACUGCACCGAAUUAGUCAUCUUGGAUCUAGCACGAAACGUGUUCUCUGGAAGCUUGCCUACAUGGGUAGGUGACUUGGCAAAUUUGGAGUUUAUUCUACUGAGCCACAAUAUGUAUUCUGGUAAUAUUCCCAGCAGCAUCACAAGACUCAAGCGCCUGCAAUUGUUGGAUCUGGCAAGCAACAAUCUAUCUGGUGCCAUACCUCAGUAUCUCGCAAACUUAACAUCCAUGACCCUGAAGGGCUUAGCGCCAUCAUCUGAUCCAGUCAAUAUUGACCCAUUUGAGCAUGGUAUCUAUGACCUCCCUUUGGCAAGUCAAUUUGGAGAAAUUAUGCCAGUGAACAUCAAAGGACAGGAACUGAAAUAUGGCCAUGGGAUUAGGAUGAUGGUGAGCGUUGAUCUCUCAUGCAACCGGUUUACAGGUAGAAUCCCGGAAGAUGUCUCUUCUCUUGAUGCUCUGAUAAAUCUAAAUUUAUCAAUGAACGAGCUGAGCGGAGACGUUCCUGGCAAGAUUGGUGCCAUGCAGUCCCUGGAAUCACUCGAUCUGACAAGCAACAAGCUUUCUGGUGAAAUCCCGUCCAGUCUAUCAAACUUAACAUACCUGAUAUACCUGAACCUGUCCUAUAACAGAUUAUCAGGAAGAAUACCAUCAGGCCACCAACUCGACACACUCAAUGUGGACUAA